This 1194-nucleotide ribosomal RNA is filed under the name Klebsiella pneumoniae. RNAcentral's name for it is "partial 23S ribosomal RNA". It matches the Rfam family "Bacterial large subunit ribosomal RNA", at positions 1 to 1238 of the family's 2925-position model. Lineage: Bacteria; Pseudomonadati; Pseudomonadota; Gammaproteobacteria; Enterobacterales; Enterobacteriaceae. The record is from RNAcentral.
GGUUAAGCGACUAAGCGUACACGGUGGAUGCCCUGGCAGUCAGAGGCGAUGAAGGACGUGCUAAUCUGCGAAAAGCGUCGGUAAGGUGAUAUGAACCGUUAUAACCGGCGAUGUCCGAAUGGGGAAACCCAGUGCAAUUCGUUGCACUAUCGUUAACUGAAUACAUAGGUUAACGAGGCGAACCGGGGGAACUGAAACAUCUAAGUACCCCGAGGAAAAGAAAUCAACCGAGAUUCCCCCAGUAGCGGCGAGCGAACGGGGAGCAGCCCAAAGUCUGAAUCAGCUUGUGUGUUAGUGGAACGGUCUGGAAAGUCCGACGGUACAGGGUGAUAGUCCCGUACACCAAAAUGCACAGGCUGUGAACUCGAAGAGUAGGGCGGGACACGUGGUAUCCUGUCUGAAUAUGGGGGGACCAUCCUCCAAGGCUAAAUACUCCUGACUGACCGAUAGUGAACCAGUACCGUGAGGGAAAGGCGAAAAGAACCCCGGCGAGGGGAGUGAAAAAGAACCUGAAACCGUGUACGUACAAGCAGUGGGAGCACCUUCGGGUGUGACUGCGUACCUUUUGUAUAAUGGGUCAGCGACUUAUAUUCUGUAGCAAGGUUAACCGUAUAGGGGAGCCGCAGGGAAACCGAGUCUUAACUGGGCGUUAAGUUGCAGGGUAUAGACCCGAAACCCGGUGAUCUAGCCAUGGGCAGGUUGAAGGUUGGGUAACACUAACUGGAGGACCGAACCGACUAAUGUUGAAAAAUUAGCGGAUGACUUGUGGCUGGGGGUGAAAGGCCAAUCAAACCGGGAGAUAGCUGGUUCUCCCCGAAAGCUAUUUAGGUAGCGCCUCGUGAACUCAUCUUCGGGGGUAGAGCACUGUUUCGGCUAGGGGGUCAUCCCGACUUACCAACCCGAUGCAAACUACGAAUACCGAAGAAUGUUAUCACGGGAGACACACGGCGGGUGCUAACGUCCGUCGUGAAGAGGGAAACAACCCAGACCGCCAGCUAAGGUCCCAAAGUCAUGGUUAAGUGGGAAACGAUGUGGGAAGGCACAGACAGCCAGGAUGUUGGCUUAGAAGCAGCCAUCAUUUAAAGAAAGCGUAAUAGCUCACUGGUCGAGUCGGCCUGCGCGGAAGAUGUAACGGGGCUAAACCAUGCACCGAAGCUGCGGCAGCGACACUAUGUGUUGUUGGGUAGGGGAGCG